UGACGAUACUGUAGGAGAGGUCCUGCGGCAAAAUAGCUCGACGCCAGGAU
RNAcentral lists this ribosomal RNA (50 nucleotides) under Gossypium turneri. The record is from RNAcentral. Lineage: Eukaryota; Viridiplantae; Streptophyta; Magnoliopsida; Malvales; Malvaceae.